GCUUGUCUCAAAGAUUAAGCCAUGCAUGUCUUAGUGUAAAUAACUCUUAUGAAACUGCGAAUGGCUCAUUAAAUCAGUUAUCAAAUACGUGAUGGUCGCCUACUACAUGGAUAACCGUGGUAAUUCUAGAGCUAAUACAUGCUGUUAAGCCUGACUUCUUGAAGGGCUGUAUUUAUUAGAUAACAGACCAAUAUUCCUCGUGUCUAUUGUGGUGACUCAUAGUAACUGAUCGGAUCGCACGGGCUUGCCCGCGACAAACCAUUCAAGUUUCUGCCCCAUCAGCUUUCGAUGGUAGUGUAUUGGACUACCAUGGCUUUUACGGGUAACGGAGGAUUAGGGUUCGAUUCCGGAGAGGGAGCCUGAGAAACGGCUACCACAUCUAAGGAAGGCAGCAGG
This 396-nucleotide ribosomal RNA is filed under the name Strombidinopsis sinicum. RNAcentral's name for it is "partial small subunit ribosomal RNA". It matches the Rfam family "Eukaryotic small subunit ribosomal RNA", at positions 30 to 432 of the family's 1831-position model. The record is from RNAcentral. Lineage: Eukaryota; Ciliophora; Spirotrichea; Choreotrichida; Strombidinopsidae.